UGCUGGAGGUAUCAGAAGUGCGAAUGCUGACAUGAGUAACGACAAAGGGAGUGAAAAACUCCCUCGCCGGAAGACCAAGGGUUCCUGUCCAACGUUAAUCGGGGCAGGGUGAGUCGACCCCUAAGGCGAGGCCGAAAGGCGUAGUCGAUGGGAAACGGGUUAAUAUUCCCGUACUUCUUACUAUUGCGAUGGGGGGACGGAGAAGGCUAGGUGAGCCUGGCGACGGUUGUCCAGGUCCAAGUACGUAGGUGGAUGAAUUAGGCAAAUCCGGUUCAUCAUUAACACUGAGAUACGAUGUCGAGCUACUACGGUAGCGAAGUCAUUGAUGCCAUGCUUCCGGGAAAAGCCUCUAAGCUUCAGAUAGUAAGAAAUCGUACCCCAAACCGACACAGGUGGUCGGGUAGAGAAUACCAAGGCGCUUGAGAGAACUCGGGUGAAGGAACUAGGCAAAAUGGUACCGUAACUUCGGGAGAAGGUACGCUCUUAACGGUGAAGUCCCUCGCGGAUGGAGCUGUCGAGAGUCGCAGAUACCAGGUGGCUGCAACUGUUUAUUAAAAACACAGCACUGUGCAAAAUCGAAAGAUGACGUAUACGGUGUGACGCCUGCCCGGUGCCGGAAGGUUAAUUGAUGGGGUUAGACGUAAGUCGAAGCUCUUGAUCGAAGCCCCGGUAAACGGCGGCCGUAACUAUAACGGUCCUAAGGUAGCGAAAUUCCUUGUCGGGUAAGUUCCGACCUGCACGAAUGGCGUAAUGAUGGCCACGCUGUCUCCACCCGAGACUCAGUGAAAUUGAAAUCGCUGUGAAGAUGCAGCGUACCCGCGGCUAGACGGAAAGACCCCGUGAACCUUUACUACAGCUUGGCACUGAACAUUGACCCUACAUGUGUAGGAUAGGUGGGAGACUUUGAAACGCAGACGCCAGUUUGCGUGGAGUCGUCCUUGAAAUACCACCCUUGUAGUGUUGAUGUUCUAACUUGGCCCCAU
RNAcentral lists this ribosomal RNA (983 nucleotides) under Photobacterium damselae. Its description in RNAcentral is "partial 23S ribosomal RNA". It matches the Rfam family "Bacterial large subunit ribosomal RNA", at positions 1271 to 2236 of the family's 2925-position model. Lineage: Bacteria; Pseudomonadati; Pseudomonadota; Gammaproteobacteria; Vibrionales; Vibrionaceae. The record is from RNAcentral. RNAcentral also lists the same sequence under 1 other name.